Molecule: long non-coding RNA, 260 nt
Filed under: Heterocephalus glaber (naked mole-rat)
Lineage: Eukaryota; Metazoa; Chordata; Mammalia; Rodentia; Bathyergidae
Description: lncRNA (ENSHGLG00100042755.1)
Source: RNAcentral
CUCUGAUCUUCAGAGUUUAAAGAUUGGAGCAUGUCAUUGGUGUUCCGUAAUAGCUCCCCUGGACUCAGAAGCAGCUGUCCAGCCCACAGUUCUGCAACCCUUACCACUCCAGCAGGGCCUCUGCACCCAGCACUUCCCAGGCAGCACGUAGCAAGGGCUUACGGCACAGCAGGGACUCAACAGAUGUAAGAGCGAGUGAAGAAAUGAAGGAACGAAUGCAUGAAUAAAGAUCCAGGAUCACCAGUGGUGGAAGUUUCAGG